RNAcentral lists this transfer RNA (65 nucleotides) under Physignathus cocincinus. RNAcentral describes it as "tRNA-Pro". The record is from RNAcentral. Lineage: Eukaryota; Metazoa; Chordata; Lepidosauria; Squamata; Agamidae.
CGAAAGAUAGUUUAAUUUAAAAUAUUGGCUUUGGGGGCCUAGGAUGAGUCGUUACUCUCUUUUGA